GUAGGAUUGCGACCCGGCGCUCUACCCCCUCGUCAGUGGUCGCAGCUGGCUGGGCUCUUUAAAAAGCCCGGUUUUGGACCAGUUCGCUCUCGCUGCAUAUGCUGUGACUUGGUCUUUGUUUGGUUAGGGCGCCUUGACCGUGUGCCAGAGGCUGGAGGGUGAAGAGUUGCAGUUUCGUCGCUGGUGAGAUUAAUGUGGGGCAGGAUGGCAUCCAACACGUUGCCACCAGCCUCCCCGUCGCUCUGGUACGCCUCGUCAGCCUCUGGAUCGGGCUGCCCGUGCUGAACCACCUCCUCCUCUGGACCAGGUCCAUCAUUGAUGAUGUCCACCAGGGAAAAGGGUUCGGAUACACCCGUGCGUUGGCUGAAUAAAUAUUCCAACCCAAGCAACUCGUUGGAAGCAACAUUGGCGGGGGCCCGGAAAUUCUCCUCCAGUCUCGCCAAACAGCUGCUGACAGCGGGUGUUGAGGCGGUGAAUGAGCGGCGCAGAGUAUUUCCUGUGAUUCUGUCCUUUGCCACCAAACACGGCGUCCAAACUCCUGUCUGAAUUCCACCGAGCAAUGCCACUCAUCAGGUAAACCUGAUGGGGCCGUGCUGCACAAUGGGGCCCUGAGUAGAACAAAGUUAAACAAAGCGUUAAUGUCAAUUUGUCCUGAUAACUCCACACAAGUACACAUGACAGUAAAACCUUCAUCUUGAGCUGGAAUGUAACCAAGCACAUUUAUUUAACUAAUUAACUUAAGUCCACGAUAUUUUAUCAUUUUCCAUUUGAAGCUACUUCACACUUACAAGCCAAUACAUCUCUUUGGUAAAUAUCAUGUACUUUUUACAGAUUUUUUCUCUUCUCAUCACCGUCCUGUCCAGUGAAACAUUCCCUGAUGUGUUGCCGUCGUAGAGUGAAGUGUUUUAUGUUUAAUUAAUUAAUAGUUCAGCCUGUGCUUUCUCUCUAGAAUAUUGUCAAAGUCACCUGAUUAGUUUGUUACAACACGAGGAAUCACCUGGAAUCAUGUGUGGCAGCGAUUUGUGGAAUCCUUCCAGGCUGUUGCUUCCACGCAGACAUUUGUAAUGGGGCACGUCCACAUUAUUGAUAGUUGUGCUACGCGCCACCCUAUACAUGUUCAUGCCUGGUGGAUCCUGGAUGCACUCCAGAUGUCGCUGCUGGCCUGCCCACAUCUCACCGAUACACGCUGCAUGGCAUGUGUAUUUACAGAGGUUAUGUUCACUUUGUAUGCUACUCUAUAUUAAUGUUGUAAUAACCUAUUUUAUGGGGCGCUUAAUAUCAGGUGUUUUGAAGAGGCUAACUCCGCUCUCGUCCAGCCCAACGGGACCUUUCAUCUCCUCGAUGGCCAGCUGGAUGAGCCGAAAGGUCUCCUGAGCACCGAGUGUAACCCUCCUCACAUGGUGCUUGAGCUGAUCCCUGGAGAUGUGGCAGCGGACAAUGUCCUCGUCCGAGACUCUCCGGGUUCUUGGCUCUGAUGGCUUUCAUGAGCAGCUCCAGGUCCGGGCGGUUGUGGGCCAAAACUGCCCCAGCUAGAGCAGACUUGAACACUGCAUACUUACAGUGGGACUCAGCAGGAAGGGAAGACACAAGAGCCGCGCAGAGGGAAGUUCUCUCGGAGCAGGUGGAGCUUGGAAUUCGUGGCCUAAUGCAGAGACGAUACCACCUGGUUCAGCUACGGUCAUGAGGAGUGUGGUGUACAGGUCCUUAUGUUGAAAAUACUCCUCAACAUGACUCUCCUGUACCUGCCUCCACACCUUGACCAUAGUGUUGCCUUCUGUCCUGUCCCUCAGAAGGCGCACCACGUUCUCAUCCACCCCACGCCGGCGAACACAUUCAGCAUUCAUACACAGCGUGGUGAGAUUUAUUGCGCUGAAGUUAGACUGUUAAAUGCACUCAAUACGUUUAAUAUCCUCACUUGCUGGUGCGGACGGCAGGGAACUGCGCUUGAUGAGCCUCACUAAGUUGAGAUCGAAUAGCACGGUCCCAUGCGAGCCAUCGGCCCACUGUGCCACCUCCUCCGCUCCUGGCGGCCUUUGUGCAGGGUCCACAGCACAGGACCUCAGUGACCGAUGUGUACCAGCCGGACACAUCAAAUGUGACGUACCUGUAGUAGAUAUUAUAUUAUUAGCAGAUAUUUUGCAUACAUAUGUUUACAUACGUAGUAAGAACACAGUGAUUCAUACCCGGUGGUGAAAGCCAGACUUGUAGAGGUGCACAUCCCUCCCGUGCCCGACGUAGUCAUCCCCUCGAGGGCACUUCAGGGAGUAUCGCCAAACUCCAACCGGACGCCUCACAAAUACACGGCUCCGGAAAAAAAGGUGUGGUGUUGGCGCAGCUCCCUUCACAUAGCGAGGCGGUUCAGGUGGAUAAAACCACAUCCGGUCGGAUUUGAUCACCCGGCGCCUCUUUAACUGACCAGAUUUGUGUUUAAAUAUCUGAACAGCGGUGAACAGGCCUCGUUCUGUGUCCUCUUUUAGCCAGGAUAUGUCCGCUGAUGGGACACCAUGGGGGUUUUCCCACGAACGCACCCAGCCCUCCAGCUCCACCUGCAACGCAGAAACAAAACAUUUGGUUAUGAUUGUCAACAAAAGAUUGCUAAAACCUUAAACCAAUUAUGAAACAUUUAAAAGAAAUGUCAUUUACUUUACAUACAGUGUGAAUAUCACUUACAGAGGAGUCACUCGGAGAUGAUUCCACCGCGGAAUCAGGACCCCUGGAUGUGGACGGGGUAUACGGGUUUUUUUGAGAAAAUUAAAGGCUUUUAAGAGCGCCUUUAUAGUGCGGAAAAUACGGUACUGUUCUUUUUCUGAUUGUGCUCCGUGUUAAUGCACUUUACAGCUUUUUACGAUUGACUAUUGCAAAACACUAAACACAGUUGUAUAUAUUACACACGGAGGUAUAUCAAGAUGUCACUUCCUUGCAAUUGCAAAGCACUGAUUGUCAAAUUACCUAACUAAUUGACACAUGGGUUUGACAGACCGAUCAGGUGUGCAAACACAGAAUUGCUGAAUUGCAGACAGACUGCACAGGAUACAAUGUUAUGUUUGUCUGAUGCAUAUAAACUGGGAGUUGUUUGUUGUUUUGAAUCGCCAUGUUGACACAUUUGAGUGGGCAAAAAUAAACUACAUAAUCCUCAGUCUGCUGCAUUGGUCUUGUGUGGUGUCAUGUGGUGUGUAAUGUACCCACAUGUCUUUUAGUGUUUUGCCAAAUCACUGUAUUGUUUUGCAAAAAGGGUGAGCAGACAUUGUGCUUAUCGUACUGCAAAUGUGGCCGAUGUUUUGCACUUUCUCUGUGUACUUCACUUACACUGCUCUAAUCGCUGAGAAGUACAAUUGCCAAAAGUGAGUGUGGUACAAACUGAAUAAAGUCGUAUGCAACGUGUGUGUCGUAUGGUAACAAAAUAUGAUUUUGAUUAAGUUGUGCAUAGUUUAACAAGAGUGUUUUAAUUUUGCAAAGAAUCAGUCAAUAAUGUGACAGAAUAAAUAAACAACUUUCUUUGUUUUGUGUAAUCGUGAACUAAAUUUAAGUUUAGUCUUGUUUUAUGGAGCAGGAGGAAGCGCCUUCAAGCUGGAGGACGACAUUCAGCUUCUGUAGCUUGGACAUAUUAUGUAAUAUCUUAAUGUUAUGUUAAAUAGCUUGUACUGAUUUGAAUUUAAAUAACCAGAACAUGUUUUUCCCUCAGCCUGAAAUAGACUGCAGUGACCGCAGGGCAGAGACAGUUUAGGAGACGCAAAGUAAACGUCGUCACAUCUCUACCAAACCAUUGAUUUAAUUAUAUUUAACUGUGUUUAAGUUGUUAAUCUGCUAUUACAGAUGUAUUUAAUGCUGUUUAUUUCAUUUGAUGUUUAUGGUUAAUUUGCAACCAUUGAUGUACACAUAUUUGUUUCAUUUAAGAACCAAACAUACCUCCAAUGAAGUGGGAUUAUUUGUUGAUCACAAUGCAAUGCAUAAUGACCAUUCAAAAAAUACAGACUUCGAGGUAGAGGUAAUAAUUAACCUACCUAACCUAAUGAUUAUUUGUGCCACUUCAAUCCUGAAUUAAAUGGUCAAACUGAAGAGGUCAAAGGAUGAGAGGAUCUAAUGUUGGCAAGAAUCUGUGGUCCAAAGAAAAUUUACUCAGUUUUAUUGCCUUCAGAUGUGUUACUAUUUUAAAAAUAGUAAGCCUUAAAAGCCUUAAAAAUCACUGUUCGUCCAUUUUAGUUCCUCCUCAGAGCCUUAUUUUAGGGCAGCUUCUCGAUUGCACCAUUGUUAAACAUUCAACUCUUAUUUUAAGGAAGAGUAUCCCCAGUUACUAGGCCAGCGAAGCCGGAUGCAUCAGUAGCUGCAGAGUGAAGAGGUGGACUCACUAAAACAAGUGUCACACCAACAAAGCGCUCAGGACCAGUGAGCUGCAGAGAUGGGAUGUGCUUUACCCAGAUGUUUGUGUACAGCUGGACAGUGCUCUCAAUAAAUUGCCACAAUUGUUCAAGAUGGA
Molecule: non-coding RNA, 4474 nt
Organism: Gasterosteus aculeatus aculeatus (three-spined stickleback)
Lineage: Eukaryota; Metazoa; Chordata; Actinopteri; Perciformes; Gasterosteidae
Source: RefSeq, a predicted model, not a curated record